This is a long non-coding RNA of Cornus florida, 998 nucleotides long. RefSeq lists it as uncharacterized. The record is from RefSeq and is a predicted model, not a curated record. The transcript has 2 exons. Lineage: Eukaryota; Viridiplantae; Streptophyta; Magnoliopsida; Cornales; Cornaceae.
AUGUCUGUCUUUCUGUGUUAACAGAAUGGUAAGCACUAGAACUAAAUGAAACAAUCAGUGACGAAUGGAAGAUGAUGAGCGCUGAAAAAUACGCACUUAUCCCAAAACUAAGCUAACUCAGCCAAAUAAGAGCAAAAAUGAAGCAAUUCUGGGAUGAAUUAAAGAAAGGAGCCAAGUGGAAGCAAAAGGAAGCAAAAGGUGGAAUUCAACAUCUUCGAUCAAUCUCAGAUCAAAGUUCGGUCGAUCCAACAUGAUCAAUCUCAGCACUUUAAGAUGGAUCAGAGCCAUGAUGACAUUUUCAGAGAUCUCAAAAGUUCAAUAGAUCCAACAUCAUUCUUCGAUCGAUGGAACUACCUUAUCCUUAUCCAAAUGAUUGAUCUUAUCUAGUUGUACCACCCUAUCAACCAUUUUUGUCCUUUUCCCAAAAAUAUCUUCGAAAUAUCUCAGAUUUGUUUUUAUCCAAAAAGGUGCCACUAUUGAGGAUCGAUCCAACUUCAGUUCGAUAGAUCUCAGCCAUGUUCGAUCGAUCCAAGUCUAAGGUUCGAUGGAUCGAACUUCCUCCAGUGCGAAAAAGUUAAAUUUUCAGCUCAUUGAAAGCUGUCCAUAUCCAAUCAUUGGGGAAUAUUUUGUGCACGACCCCAACUCAUUUUGUGUGUCACUUGACCUACCUAUAUAUAGAAUAUGAUACACUUUUUAAGGGGGAUUCAUAUAUCACAAUAGAGGCUAUUCUUAAGGAGGAAUAAAGGAGGAGAAGGCUAAAGACAAAAGCUUGGGAGCUCUUCAUCAACCAAGGAGUAGAUUUCUUCCAUGGAGUUUGCCGUUGAGGGUUGGAGAAGCAUUACCAUGAGUGGUUAGACAUCCUCUUGGGGCUAGAGUUAGCCCCAAGCAGGCUUUUUACAUCUUAAUUUUGUGUAUUAUUGAGGGAUUAGUGUUGUAAUACAUGUUUUGGCACUUUUAUGUAUAUAGAUCUUGUUUAUUCAAUGAUUUAUGUGGUUUAA